UACGGAGGGUGCAAGCGUUAUCCGGAUUUACUGGGUUUAAAGGGUGUGUAGGCGGGCUAUUAAGUCAGUGGUGAAAUCUCCGGGCUCAACCCGGAAACUGCCAUUGAUACUAUUAGUCUUGAAUUUUGUUGAGGUAGGCGGAAUAAGUCAUGUAGCGGUGAAAUGCAUAGAUAUGACUUAGAACACCAAUUGCGAAAGGCAGCUUACUAAGCAAAUAUUGACGCUGAGGCACGAAAGCGUGGGGGAUCAAAACAGGA
This 257-nucleotide ribosomal RNA is filed under the name uncultured bacterium. RNAcentral's name for it is "partial 16S ribosomal RNA". It matches the Rfam family "Bacterial small subunit ribosomal RNA", at positions 524 to 777 of the family's 1533-position model. The record is from RNAcentral.